AGAGUUUGAUCCUGGCUCAGGAUGAACGCUAGCUACAGGCUUAACACCUGCAAGUCGAGGGGAAACGACAUCGAAAGCUUGCUUUUGAUGGGCGCCGACCGGCGCACGGGUGAGUAACGCGUAUCCAACCUGCCCACCACUUGGGGAUAACCUUGCGAAAGUAAGACUAAUACCCAAUGACGUCUCUAGAAGACAUCUGAAGGAGAUUAAAGAUUUAUCGGUGAUGGAUGGGGAUGCGUCUGAUUAGCUUGUUGGCGGGGUAACGGCCACCAAGGCGACGAUCAGUAGGGGUUCUGAGAGGAAGGUCCCCCANAUUGGAACUGAGACACGGUCCAAACUCCUACGGGAGGCA
This 352-nucleotide ribosomal RNA is filed under the name uncultured bacterium. Its description in RNAcentral is "bacterial SSU rRNA". It matches the Rfam family "Bacterial small subunit ribosomal RNA", at positions 8 to 350 of the family's 1533-position model. The record is from RNAcentral.